AAGCAGUGAUGAGCGAAGCGUUGUCUGAACUGGUAUUGCUGAGACCCCGCGUCUUUGCUCUGACCAGGGCAUGAUCACGUAAUCUUCUCUCUGAGCUU
Nothoprocta perdicaria is the source of this 98-nucleotide small nucleolar RNA. Ensembl annotates it as small nucleolar RNA, C/D box 7. NCBI's taxonomy places the organism in Eukaryota, Metazoa, Chordata, Aves, Tinamiformes, Tinamidae. The record is from Ensembl.